UUUUCCAGAGCCAGAGGGGUUGCUGCUUCCUCUUCCUCUCUGCGGCCGCCAUUGAAGAAGCUCAUCAGUGACGCCUCUGAUAUUUGGUGAACAUCCUUGGUACCAUUGAAAGGUCUGGCACCAAGGAAUUUAUGGAAGCCUUGGCUGCUGGUGCUUCUCUUGUUGCAGAUAAGGUCAUUGUUACCACCAAGCACAAUGAUGAUGAGCAGUAUGUGUGGGAGCCACUCCGAUUCAAUAUUUAUGAGGUUUUUCCUUUUGCCUUUGCGAUUGUAUCUAGUGAAACUGUAGACAAUUGGAGGUGGUUUCUACAAAGGAUAUCGGAUGUCUUGCUAGG
Molecule: non-coding RNA, 334 nt
Organism: Prunus avium (sweet cherry)
Lineage: Eukaryota; Viridiplantae; Streptophyta; Magnoliopsida; Rosales; Rosaceae
Source: RefSeq, a predicted model, not a curated record